ACUAUCGUUAACUGAAUACAUAGGUUAACGAGGCGAACCGGGGGAACUGAAACAUCUAAGUACCCCGAGGAAAAGAAAUCAACCGAGAUUCCCCCAGUAGCGGCGAGCGAACGGGGAGCAGCCCAGAGUCUGAAUCAGCUUGUGUGUUAGUGGAACGGUCUGGAAAGUCCGACGGUACAGGGUGAUAGUCCCGUACACCAAAAUGCACAGGUUGUGAACUCGAAGAGUAGGGCGGGACACGUGGUAUCCUGUCUGAAUAUGGGGGGACCAUCCUCCAAGGCUAAAUACUCCUGACUGACCGAUAGUGAACCAGUACCGUGAGGGAAAGGCGAAAAGAACCCCGGCGAGGGGAGUGAAAAAGAACCUGAAACCGUGUACGUACAAGCAGUGGGAGCACCUUCGGGUGUGACUGCGUACCUUUUGUAUAAUGGGUCAGCGACUUAUAUUCUGUAGCAAGGUUAACCGUAUAGGGGAGCCGCAGGGAAACCGAGUCUUAACUGGGCGUUAAGUUGCAGGGUAUAGACCCGAAACCCGGUGAUCUAGCCAUGGGCAGGUUGAAGGUUGGGUAACACUAACUGGAGGACCGAACCGACUAAUGUUGAAAAAUUAGCGGAUGACUUGUGGCUGGGGGUGAAAGGCCAAUCAAACCGGGAGAUAGCUGGUUCUCCCCGAAAGCUAUUUAGGUAGCGCCUCGUGAAUUCAUCUUCGGGGGUAGAGCACUGUUUCGGCUAGGGGGUCAUCCCGACUUACCAACCCGAUGCAAACUACGAAUACCGAAGAAUGUUAUCACGGGAGACACACGGCGGGUGCUAACGUCCGUCGUGAAGAGGGAAACAACCCAGACCGCCAGCUAAGGUCCCAAAGUCAUGGUUAAGUGGGAAACGAUGUGGGAAGGCACAGACAGCCAGGAUGUUGGCUUAGAAGCAGCCAUCAUUUAAAGAAAGCGUAAUAGCUCACUGGUCGAGUCGGCCUGCGCGGAAGAUGUAACGGGGCUAAACCAUGCACCGAAGCUGCGGCAGCGACACUAUGUGUUGUUGGGUAGGGGAGCGUUCUGUAAGCCUGCGAAGGUGACCUGUGAGGGUUGCUGGAGGUAUCAGAAGUGCGAAUGCUGACAUAAGUAACGAUAAAGCGGGUGAAAAGCCCGCUCGCCGGAAGACCAAGGGUUCCUGUCCAACGUUAAUCGGGGCAGGGUGAGUCGACCCCUAAGGCGAGGCCGAAAGGCGUAGUCGAUGGGAAACAGGUUAAUAUUCCUGUACUUGGUGUUACUGCGAAGGGGGGACGGAGAAGGCUAUGUUAGCCGGGCGACGGUUGUCCCGGUUUAAGCAUGUAGGCUGGUUGUCCAGGCAAAUCCGGAUAAUCAAGGCUGAGGUGUGAUGACGAGGUACUACGGUGCUGAAGUAACAAAUGCCCUGCUUCCAGGAAAAGCCUCUAAGCAUCAGGUAACAUUAAAUCGUACCCCAAACCGACACAGGUGGUCAGGUAGAGAAUACCAAGGCGCUUGAGAGAACUCGGGUGAAGGAACUAGGCAAAAUGGUGCCGUAACUUCGGGAGAAGGCACGCUGGUGUGUAGGUGAAGUCCCUGCGGAUGGAGCUGAGACCAGUCGAAGAUACCAGCUGGCUGCAACUGUUUAUUAAAAACACAGCACUGUGCAAACACGAAAGUGGACGUAUACGGUGUGACGCCUGCCCGGUGCCGGAAGGUUAAUUGAUGGGGUUAUCCGUAAGGAGAAGCUCUUGAUCGAAGCCCCGGUAAACGGCGGCCGUAACUAUAACGGUCCUAAGGUAGCGAAAUUCCUUGUCGGGUAAGUUCCGACCUGCACGAAUGGCGUAAUGAUGGCCAGGCUGUCUCCACCCGAGACUCAGUGAAAUUGAACUCGCUGUGAAGAUGCAGUGUACCCGCGGCAAGACGGAAAGACCCCGUGAACCUUUACUAUAGCUUGACACUGAACAUUGAGCCUUGAUGUGUAGGAUAGGUGGGAGGCUUUGAAGCGUGGACGCCAGUCUGCGUGGAGCCAACCUUGAAAUACCACCCUUUAAUGUUUGAUGUUCUAACGUUGGCCCCUUACCGGGGUUGCGGACAGUGUCUGGUGGGUAGUUUGACUGGGGCGGUCUCCUCCCAAAGCGUAACGGAGGAGCACGAAGGUUAGCUAAUCCUGGUCGGACAUCAGGAGGUUAGUGCAAUGGCAUAAGCUAGCUUGACUGCGAGCGUGACGGCGCGAGCAGGUGCGAAAGCAGGUCAUAGUGAUCCGGUGGUUCUGAAUGGAAGGGCCAUCGCUCAACGGAUAAAAGGUACUCCGGGGAUAACAGGCUGAUACCGCCCAAGAGUUCAUAUCGACGGCGGUGUUUGGCACCUCGAUGUCGGCUCAUCACAUCCUGGGGCUGAAGUAGGUCCCAAGGGUAUGGCUGUUCGCCAUUUAAAGUGGUACGCGAGCUGGGUUUAGAACGUCGUGAGACAGUUCGGUCCCUAUCUGCCGUGGGCGCUGGAGAAUUGAGGGGGGCUGCUCCUAGUACGAGAGGACCGGAGUGGACGCAUCACUGGUGUUCGGGUUGUCAUGCCAAUGGCACUGCCCGGUAGCUAAAUGCGGAAGAGAUAAGUGCUGAAAGCAUCUAAGCACGAAACUUGCCCCGAGAUGAGUUCU
RNAcentral lists this ribosomal RNA (2639 nucleotides) under Klebsiella pneumoniae. RNAcentral's name for it is "bacterial LSU rRNA". It matches the Rfam family "Bacterial large subunit ribosomal RNA". The record is from RNAcentral. Lineage: Bacteria; Pseudomonadati; Pseudomonadota; Gammaproteobacteria; Enterobacterales; Enterobacteriaceae.